Molecule: long non-coding RNA, 723 nt
Organism: Aegilops tauschii subsp. strangulata
Lineage: Eukaryota; Viridiplantae; Streptophyta; Magnoliopsida; Poales; Poaceae
Source: RefSeq, a predicted model, not a curated record
AUAAGCGUAUUCUUAAGCAAAUAAAAAUUAAUAAUCAAAGGUUUAGAGAAAAUGAUGGCGAACCUUAUUUAUAAUAUACUCCUAAUAAUGAACAAAAUUUCUGUAGCUAACCAUCUGAUGAUCUGAUCCGCCGGAUAAAACUGGACGGUCGGAUCGGCGCGUCUCCCACUCUCCUCGCGACCUCGCCGAAACCUCACUUCCAACUCCAAAGUCCUAACCCCACGAACCCCGAAGCCGAUCCAUGGCGGCGGCGGCGGGUUGGCUCCGGCGAGCGGCAUCAGCGGCGGCGUUGCCUCGCCUACCUUCUGGAAUCACCCUCACGCCAAGCCUUCCCCCUCUGCUCUCUCCGAGGCUCAGCCGAUGUGCUCCCCGGCCUUGGCGCCGCCAUCGCCCCUGCUAUGGAACUCAUGGCCGUCCCCAAGAAGAAGAAGAAAUGGCGUUCACCUAAUUCUUAUUUGUUGCUGACAUGGACGCUUUGGGUAGAGGCCAGUGAAGAUUUCAUUAAUGCACCAUGUGUACAAUGUACAAUGCAAUUUGUGUCUCCUGCUACAUGUUUAUUUUUCUGCUGUUUAUGUCUUGGCAGAACUGAUUAGUUAUAAUUACUAUGAACAUUGUUGUGUAUGUUGUCAUACCAAGCCAAUUUGUAUCUAUGAACCUGGUGAUUUACCUUGAUCACUGAAUAAUGUAUAAUUAUGUUUAUGUAAAUUCAAUAUGUUUUAUCUA